This 468-nucleotide ribosomal RNA is filed under the name uncultured bacterium. Its description in RNAcentral is "partial 16S ribosomal RNA". It matches the Rfam family "Bacterial small subunit ribosomal RNA", at positions 28 to 507 of the family's 1533-position model. The record is from RNAcentral.
GACGAACGCUGGCGGCGUGCUUAACACAUGCAAGUCGAACGGAAAGGCCCUGCUUUUGUGGGGUGCUCGAGUGGCGAACGGGUGAGUAACACGUGAGUAACCUGCCCUUGACUUUGGGAUAACUUCAGGAAACUGCGGCUAAUACCGGAUAUGAUCUCCUGCUGCAUGGUGGGCGUUGGAAAGUUUCGGCGGUUGGGGAUGGACUCGCGGCUUAUCAGCUUGUUGGUGGGGUAGUGGCUUACCAAGGCUUUGACGGGUAGCCGGCCUGAGAGGGUGACCGGCGACAUUGGGACUGAGAGACGGCCCAGACUCCUACGGGAGGCAGCAGUGGGGAGUAUUGCACAAUGGGCGGAAGCCUGAUGCAGCAACGCCGCGUGCGGGAUGACGGCCUUCGGGUUGUAAACCGCUUUCGCCUGUGACGAAGCGUGAGUGACGGUAAUGGGUAAAGAAGCACCGGCUAACUACGUG